RNAcentral lists this ribosomal RNA (464 nucleotides) under uncultured bacterium. RNAcentral's name for it is "partial 16S ribosomal RNA". It matches the Rfam family "Bacterial small subunit ribosomal RNA", at positions 28 to 506 of the family's 1533-position model. The record is from RNAcentral.
GACGAACGCUGGCGGCGUGCUUAACACAUGCAAGUCGAACGGAAAGGCCCCUUUGGGGGUACUCGAGUGGCGAACGGGUGAGUAACACGUGAGUAACCUGCCCUUGACUUCGGGAUAACUUCAGGAAACUGGGGCUAAUACCGGAUAGGAAUCCUUGCUGCAUGGGGGGGGUUGGAAAGCUUCGGCGGUUUUGGAUGGACUCGCGGCUUAUCAGCUUGUUGGUGGGGUAGUGGCUUACCAAGGCUUUGACGGGUAGCCGGCCUGAGAGGGCGACCGGCCACAUUGGGACUGAGAUACGGCGCAGACUCCUACGGGAGGCAGCAGUGGGGAAUAUUGCACAAUGGGCGGAAGCCUGAUGCAGCAACGCCGCGUGCGGGAUGACGGCCUUCGGGUUGUAAACCGCUUUCAGCAGGGGCGAAGCUUGUGGUGACGGUACCUGCAGAAGAAGCACCGGCUAACUACGU